RNAcentral lists this ribosomal RNA (1536 nucleotides) under Escherichia coli. RNAcentral's name for it is "partial 23S ribosomal RNA". It matches the Rfam family "Bacterial large subunit ribosomal RNA", at positions 614 to 2136 of the family's 2925-position model. The record is from RNAcentral. Lineage: Bacteria; Pseudomonadati; Pseudomonadota; Gammaproteobacteria; Enterobacterales; Enterobacteriaceae.
AAUGGGUCAGCGACUUAUAUUCUGUAGCAAGGUUAACCGAAUAGGGGAGCCGAAGGGAAACCGAGUCUUAACUGGGCGUUAAGUUGCAGGGUAUAGACCCGAAACCCGGUGAUCUAGCCAUGGGCAGGUUGAAGGUUGGGUAACACUAACUGGAGGACCGAACCGACUAAUGUUGAAAAAUUAGCGGAUGACUUGUGGCUGGGGGUGAAAGGCCAAUCAAACCGGGAGAUAGCUGGUUCUCCCCGAAAGCUAUUUAGGUAGCGCCUCGUGAAUUCAUCUCCGGGGGUAGAGCACUGUUUCGGCAAGGGGGUCAUCCCGACUUACCAACCCGAUGCAAACUGCGAAUACCGGAGAAUGUUAUCACGGGAGACACACGGCGGGUGCUAACGUCCGUCGUGAAGAGGGAAACAACCCAGACCGCCAGCUAAGGUCCCAAAGUCAUGGUUAAGUGGGAAACGAUGUGGGAAGGCCCAGACAGCCAGGAUGUUGGCUUAGAAGCAGCCAUCAUUUAAAGAAAGCGUAAUAGCUCACUGGUCGAGUCGGCCUGCGCGGAAGAUGUAACGGGGCUAAACCAUGCACCGAAGCUGCGGCAGCGACACUAUGUGUUGUUGGGUAGGGGAGCGUUCUGUAAGCCUGUGAAGGUGUACUGUGAGGUAUGCUGGAGGUAUCAGAAGUGCGAAUGCUGACAUAAGUAACGAUAAAGCGGGUGAAAAGCCCGCUCGCCGGAAGACCAAGGGUUCCUGUCCAACGUUAAUCGGGGCAGGGUGAGUCGACCCCUAAGGCGAGGCCGAAAGGCGUAGUCGAUGGGAAACAGGUUAAUAUUCCUGUACUUGGUGUUACUGCGAAGGGGGGACGGAGAAGGCUAUGUUGGCCGGGCGACGGUUGUCCCGGUUUAAGCGUGUAGGCUGGUUUUCCAGGCAAAUCCGGAAAAUCAAGGCUGAGGCGUGAUGACGAGGCACUACGGUGCUGAAGCAACAAAUGCCCUGCUUCCAGGAAAAGCCUCUAAGCAUCAGGUAACAUCAAAUCGUACCCCAAACCGACACAGGUGGUCAGGUAGAGAAUACCAAGGCGCUUGAGAGAACUCGGGUGAAGGAACUAGGCAAAAUGGUGCCGUAACUUCGGGAGAAGGCACGCUGAUAUGUAGGUGAAGUCCCUCGCGGAUGGAGCUGAAAUCAGUCGAAGAUACCAGCUGGCUGCAACUGUUUAUUAAAAACACAGCACUGUGCAAACACGAAAGUGGACGUAUACGGUGUGACGCCUGCCCGGUGCCGGAAGGUUAAUUGAUGGGGUCAGCGCAAGCGAAGCUCUUGAUCGAAGCCCCGGUAAACGGCGGCCGUAACUAUAACGGUCCUAAGGUAGCGAAAUUCCUUGUCGGGUAAGUUCCGACCUGCACGAAUGGCGUAAUGAUGGCCAGGCUGUCUCCACCCGAGACUCAGUGAAAUUGAACUCGCUGUGAAGAUGCAGUGUACCCGCGGCAAGACGGAAAGACCCCGUGAACCUUUACUAUAGCUUGACACUGAACAUUGAGCCUUGAUG